This 77-nucleotide transfer RNA is filed under the name Schaalia zhouxuedongae. RNAcentral's name for it is "Schaalia sp. ZJ405 tRNA-Met". It matches the Rfam family "tRNA". From Rfam's summary of the family: Transfer RNA (tRNA) molecules are approximately 80 nucleotides in length. Their secondary structure includes four short double-helical elements and three loops (D, anti-codon, and T loops). Further hydrogen bonds mediate the characteristic L-shaped molecular structure. tRNAs have two regions of fundamental functional importance: the anti-codon, which is responsible for specific mRNA codon recognition, and the 3' end, to which the tRNAs corresponding amino acid is attached (by aminoacyl-tRNA synthetases). tRNAs cope with the degeneracy of the genetic code in two manners: having more than one tRNA (with a specific anti-codon) for a particular amino acid; and 'wobble' base-pairing, i.e. permitting non-standard base-pairing at the 3rd anti-codon position. The record is from RNAcentral. Lineage: Bacteria; Bacillati; Actinomycetota; Actinomycetes; Actinomycetales; Actinomycetaceae.
GGCGGGGUAGCUCAGCUGGUUAGAGCGCACGACUCAUAAUCGUGAGGUCGCGGGUUCGAGUCCCGCCCCCGCUACCA